GGGGUAACAUUGUAGCUUGCUACAGAUGACGACCGGCGCACGGGUGCGUAACGCGUAUAGAACUUACCUUUUACAGAGGGAUAGCCUUUAGAAAUGAAGAUUAAUACCUCAUAGUAUUGAGAACUGGCAUCGGUUUUUAAUUAAAGAUUUAUCGGUAAAAGAUGGCUAUGCGUCCUAUUAGCUAGAUGGUAAGGUAACGGCUUACCAUGGCUACGAUAGGUAGGGGCCCUGAGAGGGGGAUCCCCCACACUGGUACUGAGACACGGACCAGACUCCUACGGGAGGCAGCAGUGAGGAAUAUUGGGCAAUGGAGGAGACUCUGACCCAGCCAUGCCGCGUGCAGGAAGACUGCCCUAUGGGUUGUAAACUGCUUUUAUACAGGAAGAAACACUGCUACGUGUAGCAGCUUGACGGUACUGUAAGAAUAAGGACCGGCUAACUCCGUGCCAGCAGCCGCGGUAAUACGGAGGGUCCGAGCGUUAUCCGGAAUCAUUGGGUUUAAAGGGUCCGCAGGCGGUCGAUUAAGUCAGAGGUGAAAUCCCAUAGCUUAACUAUGGAACUGCCUUUGAUACUGGUUGACUUGAGUCAUAUGGAAGUAGAUAGAAUGUGUAGUGUAGCGGUGAAAUGCAUAGAUAUUACACAGAAUACCGAUUGCGAAGGCAGUCUACUACGUAUGUACUGACGCUCAUGGACGAAAGCGUGGGGAGCGAACAGGAUUAGAUACCCUGGUAGUCCACGCCGUAAACGAUGGACACUAGUUGUUGGGCAUUAGCUCAGUGACUAAGCGAAAGUGAUAAGUGUCCCACCUGGGGAGUACGAUCGCAAGAUUGAAACUCAAAGGAAUUGACGGGGGCCCGCACAAGCGGUGGAGCAUGUGGUUUAAUUCGAUGAUACGCGAGGAACCUUACCAGGGCUUAAAUGUAGUAUGACAGGUUUAGAGAUAGACUUUUCUUCGGACAUAUUACAAGGUGCUGCAUGGUUGUCGUCAGCUCGUGCCGUGAGGUGUCAGGUUAAGUCCUAUAACGAGCGCAACCCUUGUCGUUAGUUGCCAGCAUGUAAAGAUGGGGACUCUAACGAGACUGCCGGUGCAAACCGCGAGGAAGGUGGGGAUGACGUCAAAUCAUCACGGCCCUUACGUCCU
Molecule: ribosomal RNA, 1141 nt
Filed under: uncultured Polaribacter sp.
Lineage: Bacteria; Pseudomonadati; Bacteroidota; Flavobacteriia; Flavobacteriales; Flavobacteriaceae
Description: bacterial SSU rRNA
Rfam family: Bacterial small subunit ribosomal RNA
Source: RNAcentral